UCGCGAAACCUUUGCAAUACACGAAAGUGUGACAGGGCUAUCCCGAGUGCCAUCCGCUGAGGAAGGCUUUUACCCAGUCUAGAACGCUGGGGGAAUAAGGAGAGGGCAAGUCUGGUGUCAGCCGCCGCGGUAAUACCAGCUCUCCGAGUGGUGUGGAUGUUUAUUGGGCCUAAAGCAUCCGUAGCUGGCUAGGUAAGUCCCUUGUUAAAUCCACCGAAUUAAUCGUUGGAUCGCGGGGGAUACUGCUUGGCUAGAGGACGAGAAAGGCAGACGGUAUUCUCGGGGUAGGGGUGAAAUCCUAUAAUCCCGGGAAGACCACCAGUGGCGAACGCUGUCUGCUAGAACGCGCCCGACGGUGAGGGAUGAAAGCUGGGGGAGCGAACC
This 384-nucleotide ribosomal RNA is filed under the name uncultured prokaryote. Its description in RNAcentral is "bacterial SSU rRNA". It matches the Rfam family "Archaeal small subunit ribosomal RNA", at positions 339 to 725 of the family's 1478-position model. The record is from RNAcentral.